This 24-nucleotide non-coding RNA is filed under the name Arabidopsis thaliana (thale cress). The record is from RNAcentral. Lineage: Eukaryota; Viridiplantae; Streptophyta; Magnoliopsida; Brassicales; Brassicaceae.
ACACUGUAAUGGCCGUUUUAUACC